Molecule: ribosomal RNA, 468 nt
Filed under: uncultured bacterium
Lineage: Bacteria
Description: partial 16S ribosomal RNA
Rfam family: Bacterial small subunit ribosomal RNA
Source: RNAcentral
GACGAACGCUGGCGGCGUGCUUAACACAUGCAAGUCGAACGGAAAGGCCCUGCUUUUGUGGGGUGCUCGAGUGGCGAACGGGUGAGUAACACGUGAGUAACCUGCCCUUGACUUUGGGAUAACUUCAGGAAACUGGGGCUAAUACCGGAUAGGAGCUCCUGCUGCAUGGUGGGGGUUGGAAAGUUUCGGCGGUUGGGGAUGGACUCGCGGCUUAUCAGCUUGUUGGUGGGGUAGUGGCUUACCAAGGCUUUGACGGGUAGCCGGCCUGAGAGGGUGACCGGCCACAUUGGGACUGAGAUACGGCCCAGACUCCUACGGGAGGCAGCGGUGGGGAAGAUUGCACAAGGGGCGGAAGCCUGAUGCAGCAACGCCGCGUGCGGGAUGACGGCCUUCGGGUUGUAAACCGCUUUCGCCUGUGACGAAGCGUGAGUGACGGUAAUGGGUAAAGAAGCACCGGCUAACUACGUG